AUACUGAGGGUGCAAGCGUUAAUCGGAAUUACUGGGCGUAAAGCGCACGUAGGCGGUUUAUUAAGUCAGAUGUGAAAGCCCUGGGCUUAACCUGGGAACUGCAUUUGAGACUGGUAGGCUAGAGUAUGGUAGAGGAUAGUGGAAUUCCGGGUGUAGCGGUGAAAUGCGUAGAUAUCCGGAGGAACAUCAGUGGCGAAGGCGGCUAUCUGGACCAAUACUGACGCUGAGGUGCGAAAGCGUGGGGAGCAAACAGGAUUAGAUACCCGAGUAGUCC
RNAcentral lists this ribosomal RNA (274 nucleotides) under uncultured bacterium. Its description in RNAcentral is "partial 16S ribosomal RNA". It matches the Rfam family "Bacterial small subunit ribosomal RNA", at positions 523 to 796 of the family's 1533-position model. The record is from RNAcentral.